UACGGAGGGUGCGAGCGUUGUCCGGAAUCACUGGGCGUAAAGGGCGCGUAGGCGGUUCGAUAAGUCCCGUGUGAAAUCCCUCGGCUCAACUGAGGAACUGCACGGGAAACUGACGGGCUUGAGUUCGGGAGAGGGAAGCGGAAUUCCGGGUGUAGCGGUGAAAUGCGUAGAUAUCCGGAGGAACACCGGUGGCGAAGGCGGCUUCCUGGACCGACACUGACGCUGAGGCGCGAAAGCUAGGGGAGCAAACGGG
RNAcentral lists this ribosomal RNA (253 nucleotides) under uncultured bacterium. Its description in RNAcentral is "partial 16S ribosomal RNA". It matches the Rfam family "Bacterial small subunit ribosomal RNA", at positions 524 to 776 of the family's 1533-position model. The record is from RNAcentral.